AACGAACGCUGGCGGCAUGCCUAACACAUGCAAGUCGAACGAGACCUUCGGGUCUAGUGGCGCACGGGUGCGUAACGCGCGGGAACCUGCCCUUAGGUUCGGAAUAACUCAGAGAAAUUUGAGCUAAUACCGGAUAAUGUCUUCGGACCAAAGAUUUAUCGCCUUUGGAUGGGCCCGCGUAGGAUUAGCUUGUUGGUGGGGUAAUGGCCUACCAAGGCGACGAUCCUUAGCUGGUCUGAGAGGAUGAUCAGCCACACUGGGACUGAGACACGGCCCAGACUCCUACGGGAGGCAGCAGUGGGGAAUAUUGGACAAUGGGCGAAAGCCUGAUCCAGCAAUGCCGCGUGAGUGAUGAAGGCCUUAGGGUUGUAAAGCUCUUUUACCAGGGAUGAUAAUGACAGUACCUGGAGAAUAAGCUCCGGCUAACUCCGUG
This 433-nucleotide ribosomal RNA is filed under the name uncultured bacterium. Its description in RNAcentral is "partial 16S ribosomal RNA". It matches the Rfam family "Bacterial small subunit ribosomal RNA", at positions 29 to 507 of the family's 1533-position model. The record is from RNAcentral.